AAAUUGAAGAGUUUGAUCAUGGCUCAGAUUGAACGCUGGCGGCAGGCCUAACACAUGCAAGUCGAACGGUAGCACAGAGAGCUUGCUCUCGGGUGACGAGUGGCGGACGGGUGAGUAAUGUCUGGGAAACUGCCUGAUGGAGGGGGAUAACUACUGGAAACGGUGGCUAAUACCGCAUAACGUCGCAAGACCAAAGAGGGGGACCUUCGGGCCUCUUGCCAUCAGAUGUGCCCAGAUGGGAUUAGCUGGUUGGUGAGGUAACGGCUCACCAAGGCGACGAUCCCUAGCUGGUCUGAGAGGAUGACCAGCCACACUGGAACUGAGACACGGUCCAGACUCCUACGGGAGGCAGCAGUGGGGAAUAUUGCACAAUGGGCGCAAGCCUGAUGCAGCCAUGCCGCGUGUAUGAAGAAGGCCUUCGGGUUGUAAAGUACUUUCAGCGGGGAGGAAGGUGUUGUGGUUAAUAACCGCAGCAAUUGACGUUACCCGCAGAAGAAGCACCGGCUAACUCCGUGCCAGCAGCCGCGGUAAUACGGAGGGUGCAAGCGUUAAUCGGAAUUACUGGGCGUAAAGCGCACGCAGGCGGUCUGUCAAGUCGGAUGUGAAAUCCCCGGGCUCAACCUGGGAACUGCAUUCGAAACUGGCAGGCUUGAGUCUUGUAGAGGGGGGUAGAAUUCCAGGUGUAGCGGUGAAAUGCGUAGAGAUCUGGAGGAAUACCGGUGGCGAAGGCGGCCCCCUGGACAAAGACUGACGCUCAGGUGCGAAAGCGUGGGGAGCAAACAGGAUUAGAUACCCUGGUAGUCCACGCCGUAAACGAUGUCUACUUGGAGGUUGUGCCCUUGAGGCGUGGCUUCCGGAGCUAACGCGUUAAGUAGACCGCCUGGGGAGUACGGCCGCAAGGUUAAAACUCAAAUGAAUUGACGGGGGCCCGCACAAGCGGUGGAGCAUGUGGUUUAAUUCGAUGCAACGCGAAGAACCUUACCUGGUCUUGACAUCCACGGAAGUUUUCAGAGAUGAGAAUGUGCCUUCGGGAACCGUGAGACAGGUGCUGCAUGGCUGUCGUCAGCUCGUGUUGUGAAAUGUUGGGUUAAGUCCCGCAACGAGCGCAACCCUUAUCCUUUGUUGCCAGCGGUUAGGCCGGGAACUCAAAGGAGACUGCCAGUGAUAAACUGGAGGAAGGUGGGGAUGACGUCAAGUCAUCAUGGCCCUUACGACCAGGGCUACACACGUGCUACAAUGGCGCAUACAAAGAGAAGCGACCUCGCGAGAGCAAGCGGACCUCAUAAAGUGCGUCGUAGUCCGGAUUGGAGUCUGCAACUCGACUCCAUGAAGUCGGAAUCGCUAGUAAUCGUGGAUCAGAAUGCCACGGUGAAUACGUUCCCGGGCCUUGUACACACCGCCCGUCACACCAUGGGAGUGGGUUGCAAAAGAAGUAGGUAGCUUAACCUUCGGGAGGGCGCUUACCACUUUGUGAUUCAUGACUGGGGUGAAGUCGUAACAAGGUAACCGUAGGGGAACCUGCGGUUGGAUCACCUCCUUACCUUAAAGAAGC
RNAcentral lists this ribosomal RNA (1552 nucleotides) under Salmonella enterica subsp. enterica serovar Havana. RNAcentral's name for it is "bacterial SSU rRNA". It matches the Rfam family "Bacterial small subunit ribosomal RNA". The record is from RNAcentral. Lineage: Bacteria; Pseudomonadati; Pseudomonadota; Gammaproteobacteria; Enterobacterales; Enterobacteriaceae.